RNAcentral lists this ribosomal RNA (622 nucleotides) under uncultured bacterium. RNAcentral's name for it is "bacterial SSU rRNA". It matches the Rfam family "Bacterial small subunit ribosomal RNA", at positions 75 to 684 of the family's 1533-position model. The record is from RNAcentral.
CUUGCUCUUAUGAAGUUAGCGGCGGACGGGUGAGUAACACGUGGGUAACCUACCCAUAAGACUGGGAUAACUCCGGGAAACCGGGGCUAAUACCGGAUAAUAUUUUGAACUGCAUAGUUCGAAAUUGAAAGGCGGCUUCGGCUGUCACUUAUGGAUGGACCCGCGUCGCAUUAGCUAGUUGGUGAGGUAACGGCUCACCAAGGCGACGAUGCGUAGCCGACCUGAGAGGGUGAUCGGCCACACUGGGACUGAGACACGGCCCAGACUCCUACGGGAGGCAGCAGUAGGGAAUCUUCCGCAAUGGACGAAAGUCUGACGGAGCAACGCCGCGUGAGUGAUGAAGGCUUUCGGGUCGUAAAACUCUGUUGUUAGGGAAGAACAAGUGCUAGUUGAAUAAGCUGGCACCUUGGCGGUACCUAACCAGAAAGCCACGGCUAACUACGUGCCAGCAGCCGCGGUAAUACGUAGGUGGCAAGCGUUAUCCGGAAUUAUUGGGCGUAAAGCGCGCGCAGGUGGUUUCUUAAGUCUGAUGUGAAAGCCCACGGCUCAACCGUGGAGGGUCAUUGGAAACUGGGAGACUUGAGUGCAGAAGAGGAAAGUGGAAUUCCAUGUGUAGCGGUGA